GGGCGGUUAGCUCAGUGGGAGAGCGCUUCCUUGACACGGAAGAGGUCACAUGUUCAAUCCAUGUACCGCCCACCA
RNAcentral lists this transfer RNA (75 nucleotides) under Binatia bacterium. RNAcentral's name for it is "tRNA-Val". It matches the Rfam family "tRNA". From Rfam's summary of the family: Transfer RNA (tRNA) molecules are approximately 80 nucleotides in length. Their secondary structure includes four short double-helical elements and three loops (D, anti-codon, and T loops). The record is from RNAcentral. RNAcentral also lists the same sequence under 4 other names. Lineage: Bacteria; Candidatus Binatota; Binatia (SeqCode).